Haliotis rubra (blacklip abalone) is the source of this 400-nucleotide long non-coding RNA. RefSeq lists it as uncharacterized. The record is from RefSeq and is a predicted model, not a curated record. The transcript is spliced from 6 exons. NCBI's taxonomy places the organism in Eukaryota, Metazoa, Mollusca, Gastropoda, Lepetellida, Haliotidae.
CACUGUUCGCAUACAAGUUCAAAGGGUUAUUGUCACCAAUUUAACUAAUCCUUACCGAGAAUACUAAAACAUGCCAAAAUUUACUUAACGUAAAACAUAAAAUACUAGACUAUCCUCAUUUUGGCAAGGACAGGGGUUGUAUUUCUUCACCCACAUGUUUUUAGCUCAAUGUAAUCCAACAUACAAUUGUUCUUACUUUUGGACUGUAAUCAAGCUUAAGUGUUAUUGAAUAGUAAAACAUAUUUCUUAUUGCAGUAUAGUCAAUAAUCUUUUACAACUUAUACUAUUAUACAUGUUAUAGGGAUUGAGCAGUAGCAUGUCUCUUUUACAUUAGUACAAGAGAAGUAUAUAUAGUAUAUGGUAUGACAGUCCUGUUCUAUUACCAAAACGAGGUAAUAAG